This 665-nucleotide ribosomal RNA is filed under the name uncultured bacterium. Its description in RNAcentral is "bacterial SSU rRNA". It matches the Rfam family "Bacterial small subunit ribosomal RNA", at positions 1 to 631 of the family's 1533-position model. The record is from RNAcentral.
AACCGAUGAGAGUUGAUCAUGGCUCAGAAGAAGCACACGGCGGGCCUAACACAUGCAAGUCGCACGAGAAAGAAACUAAAUUGCAGGGGCGAGUAAAGUGGCGCACGAGUGAGUAACGCGUGGUUAAUCUACCCUUGGGUUUUUCCAUCAUUGAACCCGAAAGGGGCGCUAAUACCGGAUAAGACCACGGUGUCCACGGGCACUGGGGUAAAAGUGGGCCUCUACAUGUAAGUGCAAGCUCAUGCCUGAGGAUGAGACCGCGUCCCAUUAUCUUGUUGUUGAGGUAACGGCUCACCAAGGCCGCGAUGGGUAGCUGAUCUGAGAGGAUGAUCAGCCUSACUGGGACUGGAACACGGCCCAGACUCCUACGGGAGGCAGCAGUGAUGAUUUUUUGCGCAAUGGGGGAAAACCCUGACGCAGCCACGCCGCGUGGGUGAAGAAGGCCUUCGGGUUGUAAGGCCCUGUCAGGUGGGAAGAACCGCAGUCUGGCCAUACCUGGGACUGCUUGACGGGAACCACCAAAGGAAGCACCGGCUAACUCCGUGCCAGCAGCCGCGGGAAAUACGAAGGGUGCAAGCGGUGGUUCGGGAUUUAUUGGGCGUAAAGAGCGGGGAGGCGAAACGUUAAAUUGGUAAGUUGGAAGCCAAGGCCCUGGAUCAACCAAA